RNAcentral lists this ribosomal RNA (771 nucleotides) under uncultured Neocallimastigales. RNAcentral's name for it is "partial large subunit ribosomal RNA". The stretch from base 4 to 661 matches the Rfam family "Eukaryotic large subunit ribosomal RNA", at positions 24 to 664 of the family's 3401-position model. Lineage: Eukaryota; Fungi; Neocallimastigomycota; Neocallimastigomycetes; Neocallimastigales. The record is from RNAcentral.
GUACACGCUGUGACUAGCAUAUCAAUAAGCGGAGGAAAAGAAACUAACAAGGAUUCCCUUAGUAACGGCGAGUGAAGCGGGAAGAGCUCAAAUUUGAAAUCCUCAAGGUUUUACCUUGACGAAUUGUAGUUUAAAGAAGUGUUUUCUGUUACGAUCGUAAUAUAAGUUCUUUGGAAUAGGACAUCACAGAGGGUGAGAAUCCCGUCUAUGAUUGCGAUUUGUAGCUUUGUGAUACACUUUCAAAGAGUCGGGUUGUUUGGGAAUGCAGCCCAAAACGGGAGGUAAAUUUCUUCUAAGGCUAAAUAUUGGCGAGAGACCGAUAGCGAACAAGUACCGUGAGGGAAAGAUGAAAAGAACUUUGAAAAGAGAGUUAAAUAGUACGUGAAAUUGUCAAAAGGGAAGCGUUUAACACCAGUGUUGUUUUCUGAAAAUCAACCUCUGUUAGCUUUAUGCAUGUUUGUUUAGACCUAAUCAGCUAUCUUUCAUGUUCUAUUGUUUGCAGUGGUGCACUUUUCAGUUUACAGGUCAACAUCAGUUUUUUUUACCGUAAAAAAGUUAAAGAAAGGUAGCUCAUGGCUCCGGUCGUGAGUGUUAUAGUCUUUUUCCUAUGCGGUAGGAGAGACUGAGGUCUGCAGUGUAGGCUAUUUGGCUAGAUACUCAGGUGCUAUGUGAUACCAUUUCAUAAACAACUUGUUGAUUAUGUUUUGUCCAUUGCAUACUCGCUUGUACUAUCAUACCUACGCUUAGGAUGUUGAGUAGCGACAUACGCAC